GAUGAACGCUGGCGGCGUGCCUAAUACAUGCAAGUCGAGCGAACGGACGAGAAGCUUGCUUCUCUGAUGUUAGCGGCGGACGGGUGAGUAACACGUGGAUAACCUACCUAUAAGACUGGGAUACCUUCGGGAAACCGGAGCUAAUACCGGAUGAUAUUUUGAACCGCAUGGUUCAAAAGUGAAAGACGGUCUUGCUUUCACUUAUAGAUGGAUCCGCGCUACAUUGGCUAGUUGGUAAGGUAACGCCUUACCAAGGCAACGAUGCAUAGCCGACCUGAGAGGGUGAUCGGCCACACUGGAACUGAGACACGGUCCAGACUCCUACGGGAGGCAGCAGUAGGGAAUCUUCCGCAAUGGGCGAAAGCCUGACGGAGCAACGCCGCGUGAGUGAUGAAGGUCUUCGGAUCGUAAAACUCUGUUAUUAGGGAAGAACAUAUGUGUAAGUAACUGUGCACAUCUUGACGGUACCUAAUCAGAAAGCCACGGCUAACUACGUG
This 497-nucleotide ribosomal RNA is filed under the name uncultured bacterium. Its description in RNAcentral is "partial 16S ribosomal RNA". It matches the Rfam family "Bacterial small subunit ribosomal RNA", at positions 28 to 507 of the family's 1533-position model. The record is from RNAcentral.